RNAcentral lists this RNase P RNA (370 nucleotides) under Accumulibacter sp. Its description in RNAcentral is "RNase P RNA component class A". It matches the Rfam family "Bacterial RNase P class A". From Rfam's summary of the family: Ribonuclease P (RNase P) is a ubiquitous endoribonuclease, found in archaea, bacteria and eukarya as well as chloroplasts and mitochondria. Lineage: Bacteria; Pseudomonadati; Pseudomonadota; Betaproteobacteria. The record is from RNAcentral.
GAAGUCGGCCAGGCAGCCGCUGGGCAAGAAGGGGAAGACCCUUGGCGCCGAGAGGAAAGUCCGGGCUCCACAGAGCGGGAUGCCGGCUAACGGCCGGGCACCGUGAGGUGACGGAAAGUGCAACAGAAAGCAAACCGCCGAUGUCCUCGCCAAGGCGCAGGGCAGGCAAGGGUGAAACGGCGAGGUAAGAGCUCACCGCGGACGUGGUAACACGGCCGGCACGGCAAACCCCAUCCGGAGCAAGGCCAAAUAGGGAAGCACGGGCGUGGCUCGCGCUGCUUCCGGGUAGGCCGCUCGAGCGUGCUGGUAACAGCACGCCUAGAGGAAUGGCUGUCCACGACAGAACCCGGCUUAUCGGCCGGCUUCCCAU